GCCAAGGUGGCUUAGUGGCUAGGGCACCUGCCAACCAAGCAGGAGACCUCGGUUCGAUUCCCAGCCUUGGCC
Non-coding RNA from Schistocerca cancellata (South American locust), 72 nucleotides. The record is from the annotation of a RefSeq genome assembly. NCBI's taxonomy places the organism in Eukaryota, Metazoa, Arthropoda, Insecta, Orthoptera, Acrididae.